RNAcentral lists this ribosomal RNA (372 nucleotides) under uncultured organism. RNAcentral describes it as "bacterial SSU rRNA". It matches the Rfam family "Bacterial small subunit ribosomal RNA", at positions 526 to 896 of the family's 1533-position model. The record is from RNAcentral.
CGUAGGUGGCGAGCGUUGUCCGGAAUUACUGGGUGUAAAGGGCGUGUAGGCGGGACUGUAAGUCAGAUGUGAAAUUCCAAGGCUUAACCUUGGCGCUGCAUCCGAAACUAUAGUUCUUGAGUGCUGGAGAGGAAAGCGGAAUUCCUAGUGUAGCGGUGAAAUGCGUAGAUAUUAGGAGGAACACCAGUGGCGAAGGCGGCUUUCUGGACAGUAACUGACGCUGAGGCGCGAAAGCGUGGGGAGCAAACAGGAUUAGAUACCCUGGUAGUCCACGCUGUAAACGAUGGAUACUAGGUGUAGGAGGUAUCGACCCCUUCUGUGCCGCAGUUAACACAAUAAGUAUCCCACCUGGGGAGUACGGCCGCAAGGUUG